RNAcentral lists this ribosomal RNA (253 nucleotides) under uncultured bacterium. Its description in RNAcentral is "partial 16S ribosomal RNA". It matches the Rfam family "Bacterial small subunit ribosomal RNA", at positions 524 to 776 of the family's 1533-position model. The record is from RNAcentral.
UACGUAGGGUCCGAGCGUUGUCCGGAGUUACUGGGCGUAAAGCGCGCGCAGGCGGCGGCGUGGGUCCGGCGUGAAAGCCCCCGGCUCAACCGGGGAGAGUCGUCGGGGACCGCGCCGCUUGAGGUCGGCAGGGGCCGGUGGAAUGCCCGGUGUAGUGGUGAAAUGCGUAGAGAUCGGGCGGAACACCCGUGGCGAAGGCGGCCGGCUGGGCCGAAUCUGACGCUGAGGCGCGAAGGCGUGGGGAGCGAACGGG